Molecule: long non-coding RNA, 1382 nt
Organism: Monopterus albus (swamp eel)
Lineage: Eukaryota; Metazoa; Chordata; Actinopteri; Synbranchiformes; Synbranchidae
Exons: 3
Source: RefSeq, a predicted model, not a curated record
CUACCUCUGUGCAAAACCAACUCACUACUCUUUCAGUCAGCUGUAUUCAAACAUUUGUGUCUACAGUGGAGCAAUCUGUAAACACAGCACUGACAUUACCAACUUAUGAAGCUGAUGCUAAGCAGAAGCAAGGUGAUACUUCUCUACCAGCCAUCCAUUUCACAUUACACAUAAUUAUUUGAUUCAUUGUUGAUGUAAAAAUAAUGGCUAGCUUCAGUUUACAGUAUGUUCAGUUUUAAGCUGGCCACUUACUGUAGGUUCACACAAGCAGUAAGAAACAUCUCAAACUCCAAACACUGUACAGCUCCUGUCAAAUAAAGUCAUCAAGUAGAAGUUGAGGUGAAACUCAUGUUUUGAUCAAUCUAUUUUGCCAAACACUAUAAGAACAUGUAGCACUUCCUGACAAAUAUGGCCCUAUCACGCCAGUCCAUAGUGAGAAUACUGGAUAAACACUGUGCAUGUCUCUUUAGGCAUGUACAGUGACCCGUACUGCUAGAGUUAAAACCAUUUAGAAAAUAGCAUUUAUUCAACUCUUGGUUGACAAAGAGUUCAAGAGCAGCAGACAAGGCUCCAUUGUGCUGUCCUGCCAUGACAUGACAUCAGAGAGCAGCCCUGUAGAAAACAUAAGCACAAACAUUCAUGUAUACAUGUAGCAUGUACCAAUUUGGCCUUCUUAAAUUAAGUGCAACACAGUGGUAAAAUUACAUGAAAUCACUGAGGGGAGCAGCACUUCAGCUAAAACACUGCCUGACUUUUCUUAGUCAACAGUCUUCACAAUGGCCACCAUUCAGUGCGGUGCUGGUGUCUGCCAUAAUAGGAGCCAGGGCUUGGCUUUUCUUUUGUGUCUGCUCGUGUAUGUUGUGUUUGUUUGUCUGAGUAGCAGGCUGAGUUUGGAUUCAGAGCACACAGAUGAUGGACAGUGAGUGGAUGAGUUUGUCUCUGUGGAUAUUCUAAGUCGAGAGAUUUACAGCUGUGGAUUGAAUUUUUCCAUUAAUAAAGCACUUCAGCCUCUGUGGUGUCACAGCAGAAGCUCUGAAACAGCUAGAGCAGAAAAGGACCCAGAGAGGGGUCAGGAAGUUAGUUCACAGCAUCUCAACAGUCCGUCUGCAGCAGGUAUCUCACUCCAUCCCUUUGCCAAGACUAUAACCACAUUAUAGCCCAAUGGAAGGCACCAAAACUUCUCUUUGGCUGGUUCUCCUGCUCAUCCAGCUGCCGUUCUAUCCUACUGAUGCAGACGUAGGCCUUCAAACCAUGCCAACACAUUCCAACAAAACAAAAGAUCAAGGUAGCAGCUCAGCCACUGUGACAGAAACCAGCCUUACUACCACUAACCACACCAACUCUCUUGAUACAGACGCCAAUGGCAACUGCUUGAUCAACAC